GGGCUCGCUUUGGCAGCACAUAUACUAAAAUUAGAACCAUACAAGGAAGAUUAGCAUGGCGCCUGUACAAGGAUGACAUGCAAAUUCACGAAGCAUUCAGAUUCCAA
Molecule: small nuclear RNA, 107 nt
Organism: Microtus ochrogaster (prairie vole)
Lineage: Eukaryota; Metazoa; Chordata; Mammalia; Rodentia; Cricetidae
Source: Ensembl